CCUACGGGAGGCAGCAGUGAGGAAUAUUGGUCAAUGGGCGGAAGCCUGAACCAGCCAAGUCGCGUGAGGGAUUAAGGCCCUGCGGGUCGUAAACCUCUUUUGCCGGGGAGCAGUGGUCCGGACGUGUCCGGGCCGGGAGAGUACCCGGAGAAAAAGCAUCGGCUAACUCCGUGCCAGCAGCCGCGGUAAUACGGAGGAUGCGAGCGUUAUCCGGAUUUAUUGGGUUAAAGGGGCGCGUAGGCGGGCAUUUAAGCCGGCGGUCAAAUGUCGGGGCUCAACCCCGGCCUGCCGUCGGAACUGGGUGCCUUGAGUGGGCGAGAAGUAGGCGGAAUGCGUGGUGUAGCGGUGAAAUGCAGAGAUAUCACGCAGAACCCCGAUUGCGAAGGCAGCAUACCGGCGCCCGACUGACGCUGAGGCACGAAAGUGCGGGUAUCGAACAGGAUUAGAUACCCCGGUAGUC
Molecule: ribosomal RNA, 460 nt
Filed under: uncultured bacterium
Lineage: Bacteria
Description: partial 16S ribosomal RNA
Rfam family: Bacterial small subunit ribosomal RNA
Source: RNAcentral